Rhodamnia argentea is the source of this 377-nucleotide long non-coding RNA. RefSeq lists it as uncharacterized. The record is from RefSeq and is a predicted model, not a curated record. Lineage: Eukaryota; Viridiplantae; Streptophyta; Magnoliopsida; Myrtales; Myrtaceae. The transcript has 2 exons.
GAUGUGGUGGAGCCCUACUCGAGCUCAUUAGUCGAUGGAUCCCUAGAGAAGAAUGCUCAGAUACCAAAUGAAAACGGUGGGAGUAAGAAGCUCAUGAAUUUUCAACUGAGCGUUAGCACAUGAAGAGUACACAUUGAAGGCCUUGAAAGAGAAGGAAAAGGAGCAAAGGAGUUAAGAGUCAGAGCCGACAAGUGAGGUCCUUUUCUUCUGUUCGACUGAACUGAAGUUGUGUUUUAGAUGAUGCAGAGCAUCUUGUAGCUAUUUUUUUACAUCUCUCAGUUUUCUCUUUUUGAUUUAUUUGUUUAUAAUGUUGGCGAAAGACCUAUUUGAGUUGUGAUCCUCGUUGAUCUUGAAAUGCAAAUAUAAAAGUUACAUUA